Molecule: ribosomal RNA, 2283 nt
Filed under: Triticum aestivum (bread wheat)
Lineage: Eukaryota; Viridiplantae; Streptophyta; Magnoliopsida; Poales; Poaceae
Description: partial small subunit ribosomal RNA
Source: RNAcentral
AUGGGAAGCGUCGGUGGAGAGGAGGAGUUCCCCGCCGGCGUGACGGGGGCGGACGCGGAGGUGGGGGCGCUAGUCUGGGUGCGCCGCCGCAACGGAUCCUGGUGGCCCGGCCGGAUCCUUGGCCAGGACGAGUUACCCGAGAACUGCGUGGUUCCACCGCGCUCUGCAGGCACACCCAUCAAGCUCCUCGGCCGCCCGGACGGCAGCAUUGACUGGUAUAAUCUCGAGAAAUCUAAGCGUGUGAAGGCAUUCCGGUGUGGUGAGUAUGAAGAGUGUAUAGAAAAAGCGAAAAUUUUGGCUCGCCAGCAAAAGAGAACCUACAAUGAAGGAAAGUAUGUUCGCAGGGAGGAUGCCAUUAUGCACGCCCUUGAAAUAGAAAGAUCUCGCUUUCCAGAUGAAGAUGAGAUGGACGAUGCUAUGUGUGCAUCUGAGAACAGGUAUUCUGCAAACUCUAGAAACAUAGGUGGAGCCAGCAGAAUAUCUUCUCGCGUUGAAAGGGGUCUGUAUGAUAUUGAAGAAAACUCAGCUCAAGGUUUAUCUGAAGCGUCAACAUUUUUCAAGCUGCCACAAAAUAUAUCCUCUUCAAGUACUAGGUAUGCUUCAUCGUCAAGGAAGAAACGGAAGGCAUCAAACAAAUUUGAGGAUGACACAGUCAAAGGAUUCCGGCGUAUGAGAGACCUUAUUGGAUCAAACAGGACCCCGAAACAGAAGUCAAGUGCUGGUUCUUUUUCAAAUGGGUAUCAUGAUUUACCUCAUCUUGAAAGUGGGCCAAGCUUUGGCUAUGAGUUGCCUAGCACAAAUGGAAUAAACAAGAAUAAGCAGUCUCAUUCAUUGACAAAAAGGAAACGCUCCAAUAUUGGUCAAGCUUAUGAAAAUUCAAGAAAGAAAGAUAAGCGACGUCCUUUGUCAAAGUUAUGUAAAGAUUCAGCAGUGAAAGUUCCAACAUAUUGGGACGCUUCAGGACAGUCUUCUGUCCAGUCCCCUGGACACAAACUGUCGAACGUGUUUGAAUCAAAUUGGGGGGGAUUUUCUUUGCCAGGAAAUUUAAAUUGUUCUUACAGCUCGGGCACUUCAAGUGUGGAGACUUUAGCAGAUGCCUUAUGUACUAGUCGCAAUGGUGCUACCAAAGCUUCUAAACUAAAGGAAGCUGAAGUCUUGGACGGGACUGGGUUUCUUAGUGAUGGCUGCUCUGAUGAUGAUGAUGAGUUUCUUGAUGCUCACCGUACUAUGGAGGAUGAUGUCACAGCAGAAGGCCAUCUGCACACACAUGGAUCGUGUGCAUCUGUAAAGGAUGAGACCUUAAAAGGCAAGACACAAAUUACUGACUAUAGCAGAGAACACAUACCCUUACUUCGUGAUAAUACAAGUUCCAAGAAGAAAAACAUACAGGUAGCUCCAGUAAGCUGCAACAUGGAUGAAAGUUUGAUGGUGGAACAAUAUGGAAGGACAAUAAAAUGCAAGGAACAAGAUGAAGAUGUUACUGGGUUGGAUGCACGAGUCGGAAGUGCUAGUGAUCCUGGGAGUAGCAUGAAAUUUGUGCUGGUUCCUCCAGAUGAUGGUGCUGGCGUUAUGGGGCAACAAUAUUAUGAAAGCGGACCCGAGCAUGAUGAGUCAUUUGAAACUCUAAGCAACCAUUCACACUCUGAAAAGGUUGGGGCAGCAUCCCCAUAUUAUGGGUCACCGCUUAAAGUAAUACUGCCUGAGCAGAAACCUGAUAUGAAAUCUACAAGAUGCCAUGUGGUAAAGCCAAUGAAGAGUGUACAAGCAGACUAUAAACUUUAUGAUGUUGAGUUGGCAGUCGAAGGAACCUACAAGGGCCACCGUGCACCUCUUGUUUCUCUGACAAGUAAAUGGAACCGUAAACCUGUUAUGGGGUUUCCUGUACCUGUUGUUGUUUUGGAUGAUAGUUGUCCUGUGGAAAGUAGAGAUAAUCACCAUCUGGCAAAGAACAGUCUUACCAACUUGCUAAAGAGGAGCGAAGUUGCAGAACCGCGCCAGCCAAGAUCGGCACAUUCAUCUAAAUCAAAACUUGGUGGCCGUAAAAAGGUCUCGGAGCAUGAUAUUGAUAAGUCCUGGCGGCCACAUACCAAGAAAUCAGCAUCUUCACCAAGGAAAAUGCGCAGGCUCUCAUCUUUUGGCAGCAGCCGUAGAGAAAGCUCAAACAGAAAUACUGUAGUUCGAAAAAUUGGCGGGCCAACUAUUGCGUGCAUCCCGGUUCGACUUGUUUUCAGUAGGAUCAAUGAAGCAUUAAGCUUUCAUGUGAGAUCAGAGAACACUAGCUGA